UAAGCUUCCAUCUGUAUUUCAAUAAACAUUUACAUUUUUUUAUAAUGGGUUCCAAGUUUAAUGGUCUGAGAAGUAUGUAAGGUGUGGUAUGGUUCUCAUUCGAUAUGAACAAUUAUGGUGAGCUGAUUCAGGAUCCAUUAUCAGAAUGUGUAUGCCCGAGACAAUUUUCACUAUGUUAACAGCAAUGUCAUGAGUGGAAGUAGAUACUUUAUUGGUAGGGGGCAAGCCUGGGUUCCUGGCUCGUUUUCCUUUAUGCACAUAGCCACCUAUCAUGGCAUUAUGGCAAUGAUAUGAUGUUUAGUCUUUCACUGUAAUGAAUCUUUUUUCAUGAAGCAAAAAACUAGCAGACUUAUUUGUCCAAAUACAGUUAUGCUGUAUGGGAGAAAACCUGCCAAUCUGAAAGCGUACGACUAGGUGCAAUCCCAUCAGCAAAUAGGCUUGCACUUAAAAUUGAACUUGUAUCUAAAACUUCACGGGUUUUCUUAUCUAAAUUUAAGUUCUACC
Molecule: long non-coding RNA, 504 nt
Organism: Erigeron canadensis
Lineage: Eukaryota; Viridiplantae; Streptophyta; Magnoliopsida; Asterales; Asteraceae
Exons: 2
Source: RefSeq, a predicted model, not a curated record